This 465-nucleotide ribosomal RNA is filed under the name uncultured bacterium. RNAcentral's name for it is "partial 16S ribosomal RNA". It matches the Rfam family "Bacterial small subunit ribosomal RNA", at positions 338 to 795 of the family's 1533-position model. The record is from RNAcentral.
CCUACGUGUGGCAGCAGUGGGGAAUAUUGCGCAAUGGGCGAAAGCCUGACGCAGCGACGCCGCGUGAGGGAUGAAGGUCUUCGGAUCGUAAACCUCUGUCAGCAGGGAAGAACGGUCACUGUGCUAAUCAGCAGUGAAUUGACGGUACCUGCAAAGGAAGCACCGGCUAACUCCGUGCCAGCAGCAGCGGUAAUACGGAGGGUGCGGGAGUUAAUCGGAAUUACUGGGCGUAAAGCGCUCGUAGGGGGUAUGUCAAGGCAAGGGUGAAAUCCCCGCGCUCAACGUGGGAACUGCCUUUGAAACUGGCAAACUGGAGUGUGAGAGAAGUGAGUGGAAUUCCAGGUGUAGGGGGGAAAUCCAUAGAUAUCUGGAGGAACAUCAGUGGCGAAGGCGACUAUCUGGCACAUAACUGACGCUGAGGAGCGAAAGCGUGGGUAGCAAACAGGAUUAGAUACCCCAGUAGUC